This 393-nucleotide ribosomal RNA is filed under the name uncultured bacterium. RNAcentral's name for it is "bacterial SSU rRNA". It matches the Rfam family "Bacterial small subunit ribosomal RNA", at positions 28 to 419 of the family's 1533-position model. The record is from RNAcentral.
GAUGAACGCUAGCGGGAGGCCUAAUACAUGCAAGUCGAACGGUAACAGGGUAGCAAUACCGCUGACGAGUGGCGCACGGGUGCGUAACACGUACACAAUCUACCUUAUACUGGAGCAUAACCUCGGGAAACUGAGGCUAAUUCUCCAUAACAUAUUAAAAAGGCAUCUUUUUUGAUAUUAAAACUCCGGUGGUAUAAGAUGAGUGUGCGUCUGAUUAGCUAGUUGGUGGGGUAACGGCUCACCAAGGCAACGAUCAGUAGCUGGUCUGAGAGGAUGAUCAGCCACACGGGCACUGAGACACGGGCCCGACUCCUACGGGAGGCAGCAGUAGGGAAUAUUGGACAAUGGGCGCAAGCCUGAUCCAGCCAUCCCGCGUGAAGGAUUAAGGCCCUC